GAUUAACGCUGGCGGCGUGCCUAACACAUGCAAGUCGAACGAUGAAACUUAAAUGAUUUCUUCGGAAUGAACUUAAGUGGAUUAGUGGCGGACGGGUGAGUAACGCGUGAGUAACCUGCCUUACACAAGGGGAUAGCCGUUGGAAACGACGAAUAAUACCCUAUGAAACUAUCACUUCGCAUGAAGCGAUAGUCAAAGUGUUAGCGGUGUAAGAUGGACUUGCGUCUGAUUAGCUAGUUGGUGAGAAAAAAGCCCACCAAGGCAACGAUCAGUAGCCGGCUUGAGAGAGUGUACGGCCACAUUGGGACUGAGACACGGCCCAGACUCCUACGGGAGGCAGCAGUGGGGAAUUUUGCACAAUGGGGGAAACCCUGAUGCAGCGACGCCGCGUGAUUUAGAAGGCCUUCGGGUUGUAAAAAUCUUUUGUAUAGGAAGAAAAUGACAGUACUAUACGAAUAAGGUCCGGCUAAUUACGUG
This 477-nucleotide ribosomal RNA is filed under the name uncultured bacterium. Its description in RNAcentral is "partial 16S ribosomal RNA". It matches the Rfam family "Bacterial small subunit ribosomal RNA", at positions 28 to 507 of the family's 1533-position model. The record is from RNAcentral.